UACGGAGGGUGCAAGCGUUGUUCGGAAUUACUGGGCGUAAAGCGCGUGUAGGCGGUCUUUUAAGUCUGGUGUGAAAGCCCGGGGCUUACCCCCGGAAGUGCACUGGAAACUGGGAGACUAGAGUACCGGAGAGGAGGGUGGAAUUCCUGGUGUAGCGGUGAAAUGCGUAGAUAUCAGGAGGAACACCGGUGACGAAGGCGGCCCUCUGGACGGAUACUGACGCUGAGACGCGAAAGCGUGGGGAGCAAACAGG
Molecule: ribosomal RNA, 253 nt
Filed under: uncultured bacterium
Lineage: Bacteria
Description: partial 16S ribosomal RNA
Rfam family: Bacterial small subunit ribosomal RNA
Source: RNAcentral